Dreissena polymorpha is the source of this 308-nucleotide long non-coding RNA. RefSeq lists it as uncharacterized. The transcript is spliced from 2 exons. The record is from RefSeq and is a predicted model, not a curated record. NCBI's taxonomy places the organism in Eukaryota, Metazoa, Mollusca, Bivalvia, Myida, Dreissenidae.
UUACAAGGUUUCUCUAUAGCCAAAUAAGAAAAACUGCCCCGCCCACUGGCGGCCAUGUUUUUCAACGGAUCAGAACCACUUUUUAACUCAACCAAGAUAUCAUUAAGAAAAACAUUUUGACAAAGUUACAUGAAGAUUGGGCAUGAAAUGUGACUUCUACAGUGUUUACAAGGUUUUUCUUUUUUUUUACCUAGUGACCUAGUUUUUGACCCGGCACAAUCCAGUUUCGAACUCGGCCGAGAUUUUAUUGGGACAAAGCUUUUGACCAAGUUUCAUGAAGAUGGGACAAGAAAUGUGGCCUCUAGAGU